AACGUAGGAGGCAAGCGUUAUCCGGAUUUACUGGGCGUAAAGGGCGUGCAGGUGGUUUAGUAAGUGGUGCGUGAAAUCCCUCGGCUCAACCAAGGAAGUGCAUCCGAAACUGCUGAGCUUGAGUACGAAAGAGGAUCGCGGAAUUCCCGGUGUAGAGGUGAAAUUCGUAGAUAUCGGGAGGAACACCAGUGGCGAAGGCGGCGAUCUGGGUCGAUACUGACGCUGAGGUGCGAAAGCGUGGGGAGCAAACAGG
Molecule: ribosomal RNA, 253 nt
Filed under: uncultured bacterium
Lineage: Bacteria
Description: partial 16S ribosomal RNA
Rfam family: Bacterial small subunit ribosomal RNA
Source: RNAcentral